UCAAAUAAAGAUUACAAUUAAAUAUAAUUAUAAUCAAAUAUGAAUCUAUUGAUGUAAUAUUAGAUCAAGUAUCUACUAAAGAUUUAACAUGAACAAUAAUUUAAUUCCAGCGUAAGCAU
Cotesia glomerata is the source of this 119-nucleotide long non-coding RNA. RefSeq lists it as uncharacterized. The record is from RefSeq and is a predicted model, not a curated record. The transcript has 3 exons. NCBI's taxonomy places the organism in Eukaryota, Metazoa, Arthropoda, Insecta, Hymenoptera, Braconidae.